Molecule: ribosomal RNA, 856 nt
Filed under: uncultured fungus
Lineage: Eukaryota; Fungi
Description: SSU rRNA
Rfam family: Eukaryotic small subunit ribosomal RNA
Source: RNAcentral
GUUGCAGUUAAAGCUCGUAGUUGAACCUUGGGCCUGGCUGGCCGGUCCGCCUCACCGCGUGCACUGGUCCGGCCGGGUCUUUCCCUCUGGGGAGCCGCAUGCCCUUCACUGGGUGUGUCGGGGAACCAGGACUUUUACUUUGAAAAAAUUAGAGUGUUCAAAGCAGGCUUAUGCUCGGAUACAUUAGCAUGGAAUAAUAGAAUAGGACGUGCGGUUCUAUUUUGUUGGUUUCUAGGACCGCCGUAAUGAUUAAUAGGGACAGUCGGGGGCAUCAGUAUUCAAUUGUCAGAGGUGAAAUUCUUGGAUUUAUUGAAGACUAACUACUGCGAAAGCAUUUGCCAAGGAUGUUUUCAUUAAUCAGGAACGAAAGUUAGGGGAUCGAAGACGAUCAGAUACCGUCGUAGUCUUAACCAUAAACUAUGCCGACUAGGGAUCGGACGAUGUUAUUUUUUGACUCGUUCAGCACCUUACACGAAAGUACAAGUUUCUGGGUUCUGGGGGGAGUAUGGUCGCAAGGCUGAAACUUAAAGAAAUUGACGGAAGGGCACCACCAGGGGUGGAAUCUGCGGCUUAAUUUGACUCAACACGGGGAAACUCACCAGGUCCAGACACGAUGAGGAUUGACAGAUUGAGAGCUCUUUCUUGAUUUCGUGGGUGGUGGUGCAUGGCCGUUCUUAGUUGGUGGAGUGAUUUGUCUGCCUAAUCGCGAUAACGAACGAGACCUUAACCUGCUAAAUAGCCCGCGUUGCUUUGGCAGCGCGCUGGCUUCUUAGAGGGACUAUCGGCUCAGCCGAUGGAGUUUGAGCAUACAGUCUGUGAUGCCCUUAGAUGUCUGGCCGCACGCGCGUACACUGAC